Molecule: ribosomal RNA, 254 nt
Filed under: uncultured bacterium
Lineage: Bacteria
Description: partial 16S ribosomal RNA
Rfam family: Bacterial small subunit ribosomal RNA
Source: RNAcentral
GACGAACCGUGCGAACGUUAUUCGGAAUCACUGGGCUUAAAGCGCGUGUAGGCGGGGCGGAACGUCGGAUGCUGAAAGCCCCCGGCUCAACCGGGGAAUUGCGCCCUAAACUGGCGAGCUGGAGUGAGAUAGGGGUGUGUGGAACUUCCGGUGGAGCGGUGAAAUGUGUUGAUAUCGGAAGGAACGCCGGUGGCGAAAGCGACUUCCUGGACCAAUACUGACGCUCAUGUGCGAAAGCGUGGGGAGCAAACAGG